UUUGAGAUGACAUGCUUCUUUAUAUCCCCAUAUGGAUUAGGCUACUAUGGAAUGUAAGGAAGUGUGUGGUUUCAGG
RNAcentral lists this microRNA precursor (76 nucleotides) under Struthio camelus australis. RNAcentral's name for it is "mir-1 microRNA precursor family". It matches the Rfam family "mir-1 microRNA precursor family". From Rfam's summary of the family: This family represents the microRNA (miRNA) mir-1 family. miRNAs are transcribed as ~70nt precursors (modelled here) and subsequently processed by the Dicer enzyme to give a ~22nt product. In this case the mature sequence comes from the 3' arm of the precursor. The record is from Rfam by way of RNAcentral. Lineage: Eukaryota; Metazoa; Chordata; Aves; Struthioniformes; Struthionidae.